GCAAAGUAGUGGCGAAGAAGCUCAAACACAAUAAAGACAAACAAUUGGCACAUACCAAAACACUAGAAAACCUCAACCAUCGCUUGAUACAGGCCACUAGAUCUGGCCAAACUGCAGCAUAUGCUAAGAAGAUAGAGGCUUAAAUUGCAUGGGACCAAGGCGUUUUAGUAGCCUUUGGGUCGGCCAUUUGUGUCUCUUGCUAGCGGACUCCUUUGCGAACCUCCUCUCCCCAUGACAACAACACCACCGUUCA
This 253-nucleotide unclassified non-coding RNA is filed under the name Hevea brasiliensis (rubber tree). The record is from RNAcentral. Lineage: Eukaryota; Viridiplantae; Streptophyta; Magnoliopsida; Malpighiales; Euphorbiaceae.